This is a non-coding RNA of Cinara cedri, 225 nucleotides long. Lineage: Eukaryota; Metazoa; Arthropoda; Insecta; Hemiptera; Aphididae. The record is from the annotation of a GenBank genome assembly.
GGAGGGGACUUGUGUGGAGUGUUAAGCCAAAUUUGUUGGCAUUAAAACCACUUUUUUAUCACUUAUUCCUGCCGAAAUAUACUUAAUCCAAAAAUCAGAAGGGGAGGGAGUAGUUGUUUUAUGAAGUACCUCUAAUAAACCUCUAAAUCUUUUCCUUAGCAAUGGUUUGUUGUUGCAUACAGAUAAAAAUUAAAUUACUCUCUAUAUCUAGAGUCAGGAACCACA